RNAcentral lists this non-coding RNA (28 nucleotides) under Rattus norvegicus (Norway rat). Lineage: Eukaryota; Metazoa; Chordata; Mammalia; Rodentia; Muridae. The record is from RNAcentral.
UCUGAGUUCCAACAGUCCUUCAGACAGU